GGGGAUGAUAGGAUUCGCCUUAAAAGCACUUUGUAAAAAUCAAGCCGAAGAGCCAAACUUCGUUAAAAAACGGCAAAACAAAAAUGCUGAAGAAGCAAAUGUUCCUGCUUAUGCUGAAGUUUUAGCAUAAAAAGCAGGUGUCUCGCAUAAAUUUCUCUUUGCAGAUUUUGCGAGGCAUAAAAACAGCAAAGAUGCGGUAUUGGAAUAUGGUUGAGUUCUUAUUUACCAAAGAAAAGAAAUUAUCCAACCUAAAGCCUUUCUCUUGUUUUACGGUUUGUGUAUGACAAAGGCUCACAAUUAUUAAACCGUAUAAGCUUGUAUUCGUUUUUGCAAGAAACUUUUAAGCACGCGGGUUCAAUUCCCGCCA
RNAcentral lists this transfer-messenger RNA (367 nucleotides) under candidate division WWE3 bacterium CG23_combo_of_CG06-09_8_20_14_all_40_14. Its description in RNAcentral is "partial transfer-messenger RNA". It matches the Rfam family "transfer-messenger RNA". Rfam says of the family: Bacterial tmRNA, also known as 10Sa RNA or SsrA, is named for its dual tRNA and mRNA-like properties. Its role is to liberate the mRNA from a stalled ribosome. To accomplish this part of the tmRNA is used as a reading frame that ends in a translation stop signal. Lineage: Bacteria; candidate division WWE3. The record is from RNAcentral.